AACAUCGCGCACCUGCGGGAACCUGCGGAAGGAUCAUUACCGAGUGAGGGCCCUCCGGGUCCAACCUCCCACCCGUGUUUAACGAACCUUGUUGCUUCGGCGGGCCCGCCUCACGGCCGCCGGGGGGCACCCCGCCCCCGGGCCCGCGCCCGCCGAAGACACCUGUGAACGCUGUCUGAAGUUGCAGUCUGAGACACUAGCUCAAUCAGUUAAAACUUUUAACAAUGGAUCUCAGAUCGG
RNAcentral lists this unclassified non-coding RNA (240 nucleotides) under soil metagenome. RNAcentral describes it as "partial contains 5.8S ribosomal RNA, internal transcribed spacer 2, and large subunit ribosomal RNA". The record is from RNAcentral.